This 763-nucleotide long non-coding RNA is filed under the name Arachis ipaensis. RNAcentral's name for it is "long non-coding RNA (AIPA_LNC002567)". The record is from RNAcentral. Lineage: Eukaryota; Viridiplantae; Streptophyta; Magnoliopsida; Fabales; Fabaceae.
UCACAAAUAACACAACAUAUUAAUUGUGUAUGACGACCGGACCACCGGGCCGAAUUCGGGUGACCCGAAAAUGGCCCGGACCCGACCCAAAAUAAUGACCGGGUCUAUUUUUGAGACCCUUAUCCGGUUCUAGACCCGAUGAAAUCACACUAAAUUAGCCCCUAAAGUAUUCGAGGUCGGACCGAAUUUUUGGGUCGGACCGGGCCAUGUACACCUAUACUACAUAGGAUAUAGAGUGAAGACAAAACAAAGGGAAAAAAAAAAAAAAAGAAAUUCACUAUAUGAUAUUUUACACAUUCUCCCUGUAUCUUUAUAUUUUUCGUAUAAACUUUGGAGAAUUUAUAACAAUAAAUAUUCAUAUAACUGAAAUAAGAUAAUAUAAAUUCAAAAAAGGAAAGGCUCUGAAGGUUCACAACAAUAUGUAUACUUAUUACCAUUAUCUGCAACCUUUCUUGCAUGAAUCCAACUUUUGUUUGUGAGCCUUAAAGAGCUUGUUGCAAUUAUCAACACACUGUUUUAGUACUAUGCAUUUGUCAAUGCAGUAUGUUUUCCUCACCUGAAAUUUCUGAUGGGUUUCGUUGCAUUUAUUGAUACACGCAUUCAAAUUAGACACAUCAUGAUAAGUUGGAGCCCAAGUUCGUCGCCGGCGAACAAGUGGUGGUUGUUGAUAAAUAAUAGCAUCAAAGAAAUCAGGAAUAAAAGAACAAAUAAUUACUCCAAUUAUCAAUAUCAUUAGUGUGUAAGGCACAACAUUUCUAGCCAU